This 407-nucleotide ribosomal RNA is filed under the name uncultured bacterium. Its description in RNAcentral is "partial 16S ribosomal RNA". It matches the Rfam family "Bacterial small subunit ribosomal RNA", at positions 28 to 526 of the family's 1533-position model. The record is from RNAcentral.
GACGAACGCUGGCGGCGUGCCUAAUACAUGCAAGUAGGACGCAGUUGCGAACGGGUGAGUAACGCGUAGGUAACUACCUAUUAGAGGGGGAUAACUAUUGGAAACGAUAGCUAAUACCGCAUACUAGUAGAUGGAACUGCGUUGUAUUAGCUAGUAGGUAGGGUAAUGGCCUACCUAGGCAACGAUACAUAGCCGACCUGGGUGGGUGUACGGGCAAACUGGGACUUGGGAACGGCCCAGGAUCCUACGGGAGGCAGCAGUAGGGAAUCUUCGGCAAUGGGGGGAACCCUGACCGCGCAACGCCGCGGGGGGGAAGAAGGUUUUCGGAUCGUAAAGCUCUGUUGUUCAGGAAGCGGUACUUAACCAGAAAGGGACGGCUAACUACGUGCCAGCCGCCGCGGUAAUAC